UUUUUGUCCUUUGGCUGUAGUUAUCAGGAUUUUUUUCCCCGUAUGUUGAUGCUUUUAAACUGUUGUUUUGUAGAAUUUCUCAAUUAAACCUACGAUUCUUAUUUAAGUUUCUUCUGCUGCUAUUUUUAGUCCAGAUGCUUAUAUACUCAAUCAUCCAGCAAACGAAAGCUGGUGCAAUUUUGGAUGCCUGAUAAAUAUUGAAUUCUGCAUUUUUGCUAGCAGUAUACAGCGUGCCUGCAUUUGGUGUUCUCGCUGGCGUCUUUGAAAGCCAUGUAAAGUGAUCGUCUACAUUUGGAGUUCUCGCAUUUAUCUUUCCUUCUGUUUUCUGUUGUAUAUCACACCAGCUUGAUUUUGUUUGUCGAAUAUCUGGUAGGCUACAUGGUGACCAUAAUAAAGAAUAAGAUUUUGAAAAGGCAAUAUCCAGAUGCACUCUGGGCCUUGUUGCUUAUUUUUCUGGUACUCGUACUGUCAUGUGGCUCGUGUCAGUUUUGAGAAAAAGGGGGUUUCGGCAUCUCGUCUCUGGCGUUUCUAGCGAUCUCUUCGGUCGUAUGGGUUUUGCCCACUACGUAAUUACCGGGGCCCUUCUUUGGUACUUUCAGUCACCGGGUCAUAAAGCAGUAAGAGGAUACUUUCAGUUCUUAUUUUAAAGGGGCAGCGUCGCCCUUGGUCGUUGGUGAGGCAGGACUGCGAAUGUUGGUGGUCUAAAGGUGAAAUUUUUGAAGUAUAGUUGUGGAGUAGCAUUAUAUUUCUGGCUAUCAUGAUUCUUUUUUUGACCUUGCCGUGAACUUUGUCUAGUUUGUGUGGAGCAUUAGAAGUCGGAUUUGGUAGAUGAGCUGGAUAUCUCUUGUUUUAGCUUUGGCUUAUGCAUGCUUAGUUGGUCUCUUUGAUGAUUUGAUUUUGUUAUCUGUGGAUUGAUGUCUUGGAGUGUGAUAAGCUUGAGAUCUAGGAUUCGCCACAACAUUGGCUGGGAACAGAAAAGGACAGGGGUUCCAUGUCCUUAGUAUUGGAGCUUGGCUUAUAUGGAAGGAUGUGGAUGUUAUGUUUCCAAUAUCUGGGGAAUGCUUGGUGUAGAGGCUCUCAUAUCUCUAAUCUUUACUGAUUCAUUGAUGGUUUUCCGAUAAAUUGGCAGGGAUUAUCAGCGGCCGACAUCCCCUUGUAUCCAUAGGCUUUGUUUUGCUCUUGUGCUGACAUCGAAUGUGAUAGGGCUUUAAUCUACUACAUGGUCUUUUGCAUAUAAAUCUUUGCUUUUUGAAGGUGGUACUCAGAAUGAAAGGUAGAAUAUUAUGUCAAGGGCUGAUGGGGAACAUCACCCAACUCUGGCUAAAGCAUUUUAAUUAUGUUUGAACUUGACGUACUUCUCGGAGGCGUUGGCAGUUUCUUUUAGUAAUUUGCAUUUCUUGUGUAUAUACGUGUUACGUUACGGGUGAAGUAAUUUUUGGAUUGCUUAUUGUUUAUCAAUAGUCAGUUGAUAUUGUCAUCAAACAGUUCCCUGUAGACUCUCGGUAAUUGUCUAAUGCACAUCACAUAUAUUUCAGGGAAAUGGUAGUUGCACUAGAGGGAGGAGAGUAAAUGACUGGAGCUGUGGAGGAAGAUUAUGCUUUGGCAAUUAGUGUUCUGGCAGAGAUAUCUGUUUUGUUUUGCAGAGUAGUUCACGCUUUAUUUUUAUUCUGGUAUUUGAAGUAUUUGUUUUGCUGCAUGACAUACACAUAGGUAAACAAGCAUUAUGAGUGAGCUCAACAGUUCAUCUACUAAAAUUCUGCCUUUAUCCCAAAGUUUUUGCUCACUUGGCACAUUUGCUUAUGUGGAUGCUGCAUUUAUCGACUUCUGUUUUUGAUUUUUUUUUUUUUUUUUUUUUGGAAAUUAUCUGCUAUAACAUAUUGGACAAUUCUAUUAUCAUUGGAAACUAGAGGUUGUUUACCUGCUCUUUACUUGUCUAUGAUUGUGUUUUGAAUUGUCAGGUAUCAUCAGCAAUGCAACUACCGCUUUUCGAGCCAUUAAGAAUAAAUUUCUGCCUCAGUGUACAAUCUUCAAGUGUUUGUAGCUACUUUGGUCGUUUAGGAUGGUGCUGAGCAUGCAAGAUGGGAUGACAGUGGAAGGUGUGGGCAUGUAGUACCCCUAUUCAUUGAGAUUAUUCUGGUCAAGCUUCUUCUAUUGUCUUGACCUAUGUUUUCUGGCACUUCCAGAUCAGUUAGUGGGCUGCGUUUUCUAGCACUAUUAGUUUGUAAUUCCAUGAGGUGUUAAUACUAUUUGAUUCUUGCUUCUUAUGGGUUUCAUGCUUUCUGUUUAUUGUAUAGCGAUGUUCUAGCAUCAUUUAGGAUGAUGAGCUCAAUAAUAAUAUGCCUAGAUUGUUUAAGCAGGGUUUGGCUUCUGCUUUUCCUCUGUAUUGUUGUCCUGAGAGAUUGUAGCCUUGUUUACUCUUCAAGAUCUAUCUUGACGGACGUAUUGAUGAACUCCUUAUACUUGUACUAAAAGGGUGGAGACUUUCAUGGGUGUUUGGAUAGCAGUGAGUGGUAGAUUGUCUUAAAAGGGUGGAGAGGGUGGUGUCUCUUUUUGGGGCUUAGUCUAGAUGAUCUUGGGGAUCAUACUGUAGGAUUCUUUCUUCUCUCUUAGUGAAGAGAAUAUGUAUGAUGGUCCUUCAGUUGUGCCAUUCUACAACUUGAUG
Long non-coding RNA from Lycium ferocissimum, 2662 nucleotides. RefSeq lists it as uncharacterized. Lineage: Eukaryota; Viridiplantae; Streptophyta; Magnoliopsida; Solanales; Solanaceae. The record is from RefSeq and is a predicted model, not a curated record. The transcript has 3 exons.